Molecule: ribosomal RNA, 1303 nt
Filed under: Campylobacter coli
Lineage: Bacteria; Pseudomonadati; Campylobacterota; Epsilonproteobacteria; Campylobacterales; Campylobacteraceae
Also listed under: 1 other name
Description: bacterial SSU rRNA
Rfam family: Bacterial small subunit ribosomal RNA
Source: RNAcentral
UUUCGGUGUAGGAUGAGACUAUAUAGUAUCAGCUAGUUGGUAAGGUAAUGGCUUACCAAGGCUAUGACGCUUAACUGGUCUGAGAGGAUGAUCAGUCACACUGGAACUGAGACACGGUCCAGACUCCUACGGGAGGCAGCAGUAGGGAAUAUUGCGCAAUGGGGGAAACCCUGACGCAGCAACGCCGCGUGGAGGAUGACACUUUUCGGAGCGUAAACUCCUUUUCUUAGGGAAGAAUUCUGACGGUACCUAAGGAAUAAGCACCGGCUAACUCCGUGCCAGCAGCCGCGGUAAUACGGAGGGUGCAAGCGUUACUCGGAAUCACUGGGCGUAAAGGGCGCGUAGGCGGAUUAUCAAGUCUCUUGUGAAAUCUAAUGGCUUAACCAUUAAACUGCUUGGGAAACUGAUAGUCUAGAGUGAGGGAGAGGCAGAUGGAAUUGGUGGUGUAGGGGUAAAAUCCGUAGAUAUCACCAAGAAUACCCAUUGCGAAGGCGAUCUGCUGGAACUCAACUGACGCUAAGGCGCGAAAGCGUGGGGAGCAAACAGGAUUAGAUACCCUGGUAGUCCACGCCCUAAACGAUGUACACUAGUUGUUGGGGUGCUAGUCAUCUCAGUAAUGCAGCUAACGCAUUAAGUGUACCGCCUGGGGAGUACGGUCGCAAGAUUAAAACUCAAAGGAAUAGACGGGGACCCGCACAAGCGGUGGAGCAUGUGGUUUAAUUCGAAGAUACGCGAAGAACCUUACCUGGGCUUGAUAUCCUAAGAACCUUUUAGAGAUAAGAGGGUGCUAGCUUGCUAGAACUUAGAGACAGGUGCUGCACGGCUGUCGUCAGCUCGUGUCGUGAGAUGUUGGGUUAAGUCCCGCAACGAGCGCAACCCACGUAUUUAGUUGCUAACGGUUCGGCCGAGCACUCUAAAUAGACUGCCUUCGUAAGGAGGAGGAAGGUGUGGACGACGUCAAGUCAUCAUGGCCCUUAUGCCCAGGGCGACACACGUGCUACAAUGGCAUAUACAAUGAGACGCAAUACCGCGAGGUGGAGCAAAUCUAUAAAAUAUGUCCCAGUUCGGAUUGUUCUCUGCAACUCGAGAGCAUGAAGCCGGAAUCGCUAGUAAUCGUAGAUCAGCCAUGCUACGGUGAAUACGUUCCCGGGUCUUGUACUCACCGCCCGUCACACCAUGGGAGUUGAUUUCACUCGAAGCCGGAAUACUAAACUAGUUACCGUCCACAGUGGAAUCAGCGACUGGGGUGAAGUCGUAACAAGGUAACCGUAGGAGAACCUGCGGUUGGAUCACCUCCUUUCUA